RNAcentral lists this ribosomal RNA (432 nucleotides) under uncultured bacterium. RNAcentral describes it as "partial 16S ribosomal RNA". It matches the Rfam family "Bacterial small subunit ribosomal RNA", at positions 29 to 506 of the family's 1533-position model. The record is from RNAcentral.
AACGAACGCUGGCGGCAUGCCUAACACAUGCAAGUCGAACGAGACCUUCGGGUCUAGUGGCGCACGGGUGCGUAACGCGUGGGAACCUGCCCUUAGGUUCGGAAUAACUCCCCGAAAGGGGUGCUAAUACCGGAUAAUGUCUUCGGACCAAAGAUUUAUCGCCUUUGGAUGGGCCCGCGUUGGAUUAGCUAGUUGGUAGGGUAAAAGCCUACCAAGGCGACGAUCCAUAGCUGGUCUGAGAGGAUGAUCAGCCACACUGGGACUGAGACACGGCCCAGACUCCUACGGGAGGCGGCAGUGGGGAAUAUUGGACAAUGGGCGAAAGCCUGAUCCAGCAAUGCCGCGUGAGUGAUGAAGGCCUUAGGGUUGUAAAGCUCUUUUACCCGGGAUGAUAAUGAUAGUACCGGGAGAAUAAGCUCCGGCUAACUCCGU